RNAcentral lists this ribosomal RNA (760 nucleotides) under actinomycete CXB606. RNAcentral describes it as "bacterial SSU rRNA". It matches the Rfam family "Bacterial small subunit ribosomal RNA", at positions 33 to 810 of the family's 1533-position model. Lineage: Bacteria; Bacillati; Actinomycetota; Actinomycetes; Actinomycetales. The record is from RNAcentral.
CUGCUUGGCGGCGUGCUUACCAUGCAGUCGAACGAUGAACCGCUUUCGGGCGGGGAUUAGUGGCGAACGGGUGAGUAACACGUGGGCAAUCUGCCCUGCACUCUGGGACAAGCCCUGGAAACGGGGUCUAAUACCGGAUAUGACUGUCCAUCGCAUGGUGGAUGGUGUAAAGCUCCGGCGGUGCAGGAUGAGCCCGCGGCCUAUCAGCUUGUUGGUGAGGUAGUGGCUCACCAAGGCGACGACGGGUAGCCGGCCUGAGAGGGCGACCGGCCACACUGGGACUGAGACACGGCCCAGACUCCUACGGGAGGCAGCAGUGGGGAAUAUUGCACAAUGGGCGAAAGCCUGAUGCAGCGACGCCGCGUGAGGGAUGACGGCCUUCGGGUUGUAAACCUCUUUCAGCAGGGAAGAAGCGAAAGUGACGGUACCUGCAGAAGAAGCGCCGGCUAACUACGUGCCAGCAGCCGCGGUAAUACGUAGGGCGCAAGCGUUGUCCGGAAUUAUUGGGCGUAAAGAGCUCGUAGGCGGCUUGUCACGUCGGUUGUGAAAGCCCGGGGCUUAACCCCGGGUCUGCAGUCGAUACGGGCAGGCUAGAGUUCGGUAGGGGAGAUCGGAAUUCCUGGUGUAGCGGUGAAAUGCGCAGAUAUCAGGAGGAACACCGGUGGCGAAGGCGGAUCUCUGGGCCGAUACUGACGCUGAGGAGCGAAAGCGUGGGGAGCGAACAGGAUUAGAUACCCUGGUAGUCUACGCUGUAUACGGG